GACGAACGCUGGCGGCGUGCUUAACACAUGCAAGUCGUACGAUGACCCGGCUCUUCGGAGCUGGUGAUUAGUGGCGAACGGGUGAGUAACACGUGGGUGACCUGCCCUGCACUCUGGGAUAAGCCCGGGAAACUGGGUCUAAUACUGGAUACGACCAGUGGCCGCAUGGUCUGCUGGUGGAAAGCCCUUCGGGGUGGUGUGGGAUGGGCCCGCGGCCUAUCAGCUUGUUGGUGGGGUGAUGGCCUACCAAGGCGACGACGGGUAGCCGGCCUGAGAGGGUGUCCCGGCACCCUGGGACCGGGACACCGGCCAGGACCCCACGGGAAGCAGGCGUGGGGAAUCUUGCACAAUGGGCGAAAGCCUGAUGCAGCGACGCCGCGUGAGGGAUGACGGCCUUCGGGUUGUAAACCUCUUUCGGCAGGGAACAAGCCUGGGGGUUUUCUUCUGGGUGAGGGUACCUGCGGAAGAAGCACCGGCUAACUACGUG
This 487-nucleotide ribosomal RNA is filed under the name uncultured bacterium. Its description in RNAcentral is "partial 16S ribosomal RNA". It matches the Rfam family "Bacterial small subunit ribosomal RNA", at positions 28 to 507 of the family's 1533-position model. The record is from RNAcentral.